AAAAAAAAAAAAAGAGCUGCCUGCUAGAUUAUAAAAUUAGCAAACUUUGCUGAAACACAAUUACUGCUGCCAGAGCACAACAGAAUGGGAUUCAAGCCAUCAAGUUAUGUGAAAUUUCCAAAUGAUCAAUUACAUUGAUUCCUAAGACAUGGACUAGUAGCAUCUGAUGGCUAAGAUAGCAACAAUGAAUUUUGGUGGAAAUUCUAACAGCUUUACAAGUGAGAACUGGAAGCACCAUGCGCAUUAUCAUGAAAUACAUUACUGAGAUAAUCAGAGAGUCACCUUCUUUUUUACAAUUUUGACCAU
Molecule: unclassified non-coding RNA, 306 nt
Filed under: Hevea brasiliensis (rubber tree)
Lineage: Eukaryota; Viridiplantae; Streptophyta; Magnoliopsida; Malpighiales; Euphorbiaceae
Source: RNAcentral